RNAcentral lists this ribosomal RNA (496 nucleotides) under uncultured bacterium. RNAcentral's name for it is "partial 16S ribosomal RNA". It matches the Rfam family "Bacterial small subunit ribosomal RNA", at positions 28 to 506 of the family's 1533-position model. The record is from RNAcentral.
GAUGAACGCUGGCGGCGUGCCUAAUACAUGCAAGUCGAGCGAACAGACGAGGAGCUUGCUCCUCUGACGUUAGCGGCGGACGGGUGAGUAACACGUGGAUAACCUACCUAUAAGACUGGGAUAACUUCGGGAAACCGGAGCUAAUACCGGAUAAUAUAUUGAACCGCAUGGUUCAAUAGUGAAAGACGGUUUUGCUGUCACUUAUAGAUGGAUCCGCGCCGCAUUAGCUAGUUGGUAAGGUAACGGCUUACCAAGGCAACGAUGCGUAGCCGACCUGAGAGGGGGAUCGGCCACACUGGAACUGAGACACGGUCCAGACUCCUACGGGAGGCAGCAGUAGGGAAUCUUCCGCAAUGGGCGAAAGCCUGACGGAGCAACGACGCGUGAGUGAUGAAGGUCUUCGGAUCGUAAAACUCUGUUAUUAGGGAAGAACAAAUGUGUAAGUAACUAUGCACGUCUGGACGGUACCUAAUCAGAAAGCCACGGCUAACUACGU